GAUGAACGCCGGCGGUGUGCCUAAUACAUGCAAGUCGUACGCACUGGCCCAACUGAUUGAUGGUGCUUGCACCUGAUUGACGAUGGAUCACCAGUGAGUGGCGGACGGGUGAGUAACACGUAGGUAACCUGCCCCGGAGCGGGGGAUAACAUUUGGAAACAGAUGCUAAUACCGCAUAACAACAAAAGCCGCAUGGCUUUUGUUUGAAAGAUGGCUUUGGCUAUCACUCUGGGAUGGACCUGCGGUGCAUUAGCUAGUUGGUAAGGUAACGGCUUACCAAGGCGAUGAUGCAUAGCCGAGUUGAGAGACUGAUCGGCCACAAUGGAACUGAGACACGGUCCAUACUCCUACGGGAGGCAGCAGUAGGGAAUCUUCCACAAUGGGCGCAAGCCUGAUGGAGCAACACCGCGUGAGUGAAGAAGGGUUUCGGCUCGUAAAGCUCUGUUGUUGGAGAAGAACGUGCGUGAGAGUAACUGUUCACGCAGUGACGGUAUCCAACCAGAAAGUCACGGCUAACUACGUGCCAGCAGCCGCGGUAAUACGUAGGUGGCAAGCGUUAUCCGGAUUUAUUGGGCGUAAAGCGAGCGCAGGCGGUUGCUUAGGUCUGAUGUGAAAGCCUUCGGCUUAACCGAAGAAGUGCAUCGGAAACCGGGCGACUUGAGUGCAGAAGAGGACAGUGGAACUCCAUGUGUAGCGGUGGAAUGCGUAGAUAUAUGGAAGAACACCAGUGGCGAAGGCGGCUGUCUGGUCUGCAACUGACGCUGAGGCUCGAAAGCAUGGGUAGCGAACAGG
RNAcentral lists this ribosomal RNA (792 nucleotides) under uncultured bacterium. Its description in RNAcentral is "bacterial SSU rRNA". It matches the Rfam family "Bacterial small subunit ribosomal RNA", at positions 28 to 776 of the family's 1533-position model. The record is from RNAcentral.